RNAcentral lists this ribosomal RNA (412 nucleotides) under uncultured eukaryote. RNAcentral's name for it is "partial 18S ribosomal RNA". It matches the Rfam family "Eukaryotic small subunit ribosomal RNA", at positions 592 to 976 of the family's 1831-position model. The record is from RNAcentral.
CAUCAGUGUAUAUUAACGUUGUUGCGGUUAAAAAGCUCGUAGUUGGAUUUCGGAGAGAGAAUAUCAAGGACCCACCGAAGAUUUUCGGUGUUAAGGUUCGAUAAGCUCCUCCAAUUGUUUUUUUUUAGGGUAAUGGCCCAGAUUCCUUUGCGGGUUUCUGGUGUGUUUUUUCCGUUCCCUAUCUUUUACUUUGAUAAAAUCAGAGUGUUCAAAGCAGGCGUCACUUGCCUUGAAUGUUUGCCGCAGGGGAUAAUGGAAUAUGACUUCGGUCUUAUUUUGUUGGUUUCUAGGGCUGAAGUAAUGACUAAUAGGGACAGUUGGGGGCGCUCGUAUUGAGUUGUCAGAGGUGAAAUUCUAGGAUUUACUCAAGACGAACUACUGCGAAAGCAUUCGCCAAGGAUGUUUNCAUUAA